RNAcentral lists this ribosomal RNA (554 nucleotides) under uncultured bacterium. RNAcentral describes it as "partial 16S ribosomal RNA". It matches the Rfam family "Bacterial small subunit ribosomal RNA", at positions 355 to 900 of the family's 1533-position model. The record is from RNAcentral.
UAGGGAAUCUUCCACAAUGGACGCAAGUCUGAUGGAGCAACGCCGCGUGAGUGAAGAAGGUUUUCGGACCGUAAAGCUCUGUUGUUGGUGAAGAAGGAUAGAGGUAGUAACUGGCCUUUAUUUGACGGUAAUCAACCAGAAAGUCACGGCUAACUACGUGCCAGCAGCCGCGGUAAUACGUAGGUGGCAAGCGUUGUCCUGAUUUAUUGGGCGUAAAGCGAGCGCAGGCGGAAGAAUAAGUCUGAUGUGAAAGCCCUCGGCUUAACCGAGGAAUUGCAUCGGAAACUGUUUUCUUGAGUGCAGGAGAGGAGAGUAGAACUCCAUGUGUAGCGGUGGAAUGCGUAGAUAUAUGGAAGAAUACCAGUGGCGAAGGCGGCUCUCUGGUCUGCAACUGACGCUGAGGCUCGAAAGCAUGGGUAGCGAACAGGAUUAGAUACCCUGGUAGUCCAUGCCGUAAACGAUGAGUGCUAAGUGUUGGGAGGCUUCCGCCUCUCAGUGCUGCAGCUAACGCAUUAAGCACUCCGCCUGGGGGAGUACGACCGCAAGGUUGAAAC